GGGCGCGUAGCUCAGCGGGAGAGCACUCCCUUCACACGGGAGGGGUCACAGGUUCAAUCCCCUGUCGCGCCCA
RNAcentral lists this transfer RNA (73 nucleotides) under Methylobrevis pamukkalensis. It matches the Rfam family "tRNA". From Rfam's summary of the family: Transfer RNA (tRNA) molecules are approximately 80 nucleotides in length. The record is from Rfam by way of RNAcentral. Lineage: Bacteria; Pseudomonadati; Pseudomonadota; Alphaproteobacteria; Hyphomicrobiales; Pleomorphomonadaceae.